Molecule: ribosomal RNA, 464 nt
Filed under: Vreelandella stevensii
Lineage: Bacteria; Pseudomonadati; Pseudomonadota; Gammaproteobacteria; Oceanospirillales; Halomonadaceae
Description: partial 16S ribosomal RNA
Rfam family: Bacterial small subunit ribosomal RNA
Source: RNAcentral
CCUACGGGAGGCUGCAGUGGGGAAUAUUGGACAAUGGGGGGAACCCUGAUCCAGCCAUGCCGCGUGUGUGAAGAAGGCCCUCGGGUUGUAAAGCACUUUCAGUGAGGAAGAACGCCUGGUGGUUAAUACCCAUCAGGAAAGACAUCACUCACAGAAGAAGCACCGGCUAACUCCGUGCCAGCAGCCGCGGUAUACGGAGGGUGCGAGCGUUAAUCGGAAUUACUGGGCGUAAAGCGCGCGUAGGUGGCUUGAUAAGCCGGUUGUGAAAGCCCCGGGCUCAACCUGGGAACGGCAUCCGGAACUGUCAAGCUAGAGUGCAGGAGAGGAAGGUAGAAUUCCCGGUGUAGCGGUGAAAUGCGUAGAGAUCGGGAGGAAUACCAGUGGCGAAGGCGGCCUUCUGGACUGACACUGACACUGAGGUGCGAAAGCGUGGGUAGCAAACAGGAUUAGAUACCCGGGUAGUC